AUGCUCGCUUCAGCACCACAUAUAGUAAAAUUGGAACAAUACAGAGAACAUUAGCAUGGCCCCUAACAACAACAACAACAACAAACAUUUAGAAGUCUAGGAGAAGUUU
This is a small nuclear RNA of Cebus imitator (Panamanian white-faced capuchin), 109 nucleotides long. The record is from RefSeq and is a predicted model, not a curated record. NCBI's taxonomy places the organism in Eukaryota, Metazoa, Chordata, Mammalia, Primates, Cebidae.